AUCACUUCUGGGCCCUUGGGCUAAGGUCAAGUGUAAGAUCUGUUCUUAUCAGUUUAAUAACCCCCAUGAGGAAGUGGACACAUGUAGACCCACACUUCAUUCCAAGGAAUCCUUUUUACCAAGACAGAAUCAGAUCUCAGAGUUUCUAGAUCUUUUUUCCCCCUCCAAAAGAUAUUGGGUAUUUAGA
This 187-nucleotide small nuclear RNA is filed under the name Erinaceus europaeus (western European hedgehog). RNAcentral's name for it is "U2 spliceosomal RNA (ENSEEUG00000022774.1)". It matches the Rfam family "U2 spliceosomal RNA". From Rfam's summary of the family: U2 is a small nuclear RNA (snRNA) component of the spliceosome (involved in pre-mRNA splicing). Complementary binding between U2 snRNA (in an area lying towards the 5' end but 3' to hairpin I) and the branchpoint sequence (BPS) of the intron results the bulging out of an unpaired adenosine, on the BPS, which initiates a nucleophilic attack at the intronic 5' splice site, thus starting the first of two transesterification reactions that mediate splicing. Lineage: Eukaryota; Metazoa; Chordata; Mammalia; Eulipotyphla; Erinaceidae. The record is from Rfam by way of RNAcentral.